GGGCCAGUAGAUCAGCCCGGUAUGAUCGCUGCGCUUGCAACGCAGAGGUCGCGGGAUCGAAGCCCGCCUGGUCCACCA
This 78-nucleotide transfer RNA is filed under the name Promethearchaeota archaeon. RNAcentral describes it as "Candidatus Lokiarchaeota archaeon (marine sediment metagenome) tRNA-Ala". It matches the Rfam family "tRNA". Rfam says of the family: Transfer RNA (tRNA) molecules are approximately 80 nucleotides in length. Lineage: Archaea; Promethearchaeati; Promethearchaeota. RNAcentral also lists the same sequence under 1 other name. The record is from RNAcentral.